GCACUGGUGGCUCAGAGGUAGAAUUCACACCUUCUGUGCAGGAGACCCGGGUUCUAUUCCUGGCCAGUGCA
This 71-nucleotide transfer RNA is filed under the name Loxodonta africana (African savanna elephant). It matches the Rfam family "tRNA". From Rfam's summary of the family: Transfer RNA (tRNA) molecules are approximately 80 nucleotides in length. Their secondary structure includes four short double-helical elements and three loops (D, anti-codon, and T loops). Lineage: Eukaryota; Metazoa; Chordata; Mammalia; Proboscidea; Elephantidae. The record is from Rfam by way of RNAcentral.